GUCUUUUUAGUAUAAAUAGUAUAUUUGGCUUCCAACCAGAAGGCCUAGAACCCUUCUAGAAAAGAUA
Molecule: transfer RNA, 67 nt
Filed under: Squilloides leptosquilla
Lineage: Eukaryota; Metazoa; Arthropoda; Malacostraca; Stomatopoda; Squillidae
Description: tRNA-Gly
Rfam family: tRNA
About the family: Transfer RNA (tRNA) molecules are approximately 80 nucleotides in length. Their secondary structure includes four short double-helical elements and three loops (D, anti-codon, and T loops).
Source: RNAcentral